This 337-nucleotide unclassified non-coding RNA is filed under the name Hevea brasiliensis (rubber tree). The record is from RNAcentral. Lineage: Eukaryota; Viridiplantae; Streptophyta; Magnoliopsida; Malpighiales; Euphorbiaceae.
AUUUAAACAAAAAGUAAAAUCGAGAUUCAUCGAGAGUGGAGCAGUAUUAUUUUAUAUAUACCUCAAAUUACUUGAAAAAUCUGUUGCACCAACUCCAAAAUUACUUUAACUAACGACUACUGCUUAACCCACCCACUAAUUUCUUCUGUAUAAAAUAUUGAGACGCCAUUCUUUUCAAUCAGUCAACUUUUUGUUGGAGUAUAUUCUACACCAGUCAAUUAAUAUUCCUCUAAAAAUUUCUAUUCAACCUCACCAACCAAUUAUACUAUGUCAAGUAUGUUGGGUUCACAAGGCUUCGUAUUGGCGACAGCCAUGGCGGUAUCUGCCGGCACCGUAA